UACGUAGGGCGCAAGCGUUGUCCGGAAUUAUUGGGCGUAAAGAGCUCGUAGGCGGCUUGUCACGUCGAUUGUGAAAGCCCGAGGCUUAACCUCGGGUCUGCAGUCGAUACGGGCUAGCUAGAGUGUGGUAGGGGAGAUCGGAAUUCCUGGUGUAGCGGUGAAAUGCGCAGAUAUCAGGAGGAACACCCGUAGCGAAGGCGGCACUCUGGGCCGUGACUGGCGCUGAGGAGCGAAAGCGUGGGGAGCAAACAGG
This 253-nucleotide ribosomal RNA is filed under the name uncultured bacterium. Its description in RNAcentral is "partial 16S ribosomal RNA". It matches the Rfam family "Bacterial small subunit ribosomal RNA", at positions 524 to 776 of the family's 1533-position model. The record is from RNAcentral.